CCGUGAAGCUGGAUUCGCUAGUAAUCGCGCAUCAGCCAUGGCGCGGUGAAUACGUUCCCGGGCCUUGUACACACCGCCCGUCCAAGCCAUGGGAGCCGGGGGUGCUUGAAGUGCGUCGCCGCAAGGCGCGCCCUAGAGCAAAACCGGUGACUGGGGCUAAGUCGUAACAAGGUACC
RNAcentral lists this ribosomal RNA (176 nucleotides) under uncultured bacterium. RNAcentral's name for it is "partial 16S ribosomal RNA". It matches the Rfam family "Bacterial small subunit ribosomal RNA", at positions 1318 to 1500 of the family's 1533-position model. The record is from RNAcentral.